UACAGAGGGUGCGAGCGUUAAUCGGAAUUACUGGGCGCAAAGGGUGCGUAGGUGGUUUUGUAAGUUAGAUGUGAAAUUCCUGGGCUUAACCUGGGGACUGCGUCUGAUACUGCGAAGCUAGAGUACUGUAGAGGGAAGUGGAAUUUCCGGUGUAGCAGUGAAAUGCGUAGAUAUCGGAAGGAACAUCAGUGGCGAAGGCGACUUCCUGGACAGAUACUGACACUGAGGUGCGAAAGCAAGGGGAGCAAACAGG
Molecule: ribosomal RNA, 253 nt
Filed under: uncultured bacterium
Lineage: Bacteria
Description: partial 16S ribosomal RNA
Rfam family: Bacterial small subunit ribosomal RNA
Source: RNAcentral